ACCUGUGCCAGGGCCUCCCCACCCUCACAGGGGAGAAUUUUUUCCUGGGUGCUGAAGGAACUUGGAAUGAAUGUGACAGAUGUGGAGAAGUGUGGAAACAAUUAAGAAGUGGCAUAAAGGUGCAGAAAAAGCAUGGAAAACAUGAGAAAGAAAAAUAACACUAAAGAAGAAAAGAAAGCACAGGCACCACCAACCAGCAAAGAUAAAAUCUACAAAUAACAGGAAAAAAAUCACAAUUAUUAAGGACUCCAACGCCCAGCUCGUGCCACAAUGCUCAGCAAAUUGUGCAAUUCGCCAUCUCUGACACGGGGUGGCACAACAUAGCUGGGAAUCCAUCGAGUGCGAAAUGGAACCGAGAGCACACGCAAACAAGAGGUCAGAGCCAACUACGAGGGAAUGUUGAAUAAUUCUAUUUCUAAACAUCAGACAAUUGCAAAUAUAAGCAUUUUCUGACACGAAAGCUUUACCAAAGAGAACAGGCUUGAAGGAA
This is a long non-coding RNA of Lepidothrix coronata (blue-crowned manakin), 490 nucleotides long. RefSeq lists it as uncharacterized. The transcript has 3 exons. The record is from RefSeq and is a predicted model, not a curated record. NCBI's taxonomy places the organism in Eukaryota, Metazoa, Chordata, Aves, Passeriformes, Pipridae.